This is a long non-coding RNA of Rosa chinensis, 389 nucleotides long. RefSeq lists it as uncharacterized. The transcript is spliced from 2 exons. NCBI's taxonomy places the organism in Eukaryota, Viridiplantae, Streptophyta, Magnoliopsida, Rosales, Rosaceae. The record is from RefSeq and is a predicted model, not a curated record.
GAAAAGAUAUGGACUUUGUACACUGUACUUGCAAUUCAAUGACAGAAGGAGAGAGGAGGGCAAUAUCUGGUAUUAUGAAAGAAGGAGAGAUCAUUUUGCAGUUUGGUGAUGGUUGGAGAGAGAUGAGAGCAAUGUAUGGUUUUAGAUGAAAGAAGACAACGAUUUUGAAGUUGGGGCUGAAUAUGUAGGACCCACAGAGUUUUUUAGCAGUAUUCGACUAUUUGUAUUUAGAUAUUUUAAUAUACAUAUUUUUUAUUUAUUAAUUAUAUGGAGUCACCAAAGAUUGUAUUGGUGGGUAGACUUCAUAUGUGAGACCCAUAAUAGUAGACACCAAAAAAAUGAUAGUGAGUUUUUGGGUAAUUGUCACGCCAGCAAUGGAAAGCUACAAA